UCGGCUACCAACUGAAAAAAUAAGCAAAAAUCCUAGCAAUGAUUUCUCCUUCUCCAACUAUUAACUAUGUCUCAAAAUUGGUAUGUAGCUUGAUCUUUAAAUCUUCCAACACCAUGCUAAUUUUUACCUUAAUCCAAUUGAUAGAUCUUCAAAUAUCAUAGAAAUACUAUCCAACCUCAAACUGCCACCUUCUGAAACCUUCUUGUGCUAAAAACUUGAUAAAUCUAAACCCCAUAGUUAGAUUAUCACAAAAUUUUUUAUACACUUAGCACACUCAAUAAUCCAAAUAGUUUUAAAUUUUCAACUGUAGAUAUCACACAAUUUGUACGAACUAGCCAAAAUUGCUA
Molecule: long non-coding RNA, 347 nt
Filed under: Physcomitrium patens
Lineage: Eukaryota; Viridiplantae; Streptophyta; Bryopsida; Funariales; Funariaceae
Description: long non-coding RNA (PPAT_LNC006142)
Source: RNAcentral